Long non-coding RNA from Branchiostoma floridae (Florida lancelet), 705 nucleotides. RefSeq lists it as uncharacterized. NCBI's taxonomy places the organism in Eukaryota, Metazoa, Chordata, Leptocardii, Amphioxiformes, Branchiostomatidae. The transcript has 2 exons. The record is from RefSeq and is a predicted model, not a curated record.
CCGUCUGGCCCUGCAGUCCGCCCUACAAACACGGAUUCACCUGUUUAUACAAAUGCAGACAAGGUUACACCCUGGUCUCCGACAGCAACAAGAAGACCUGCUCCAAUGGACACUGGACUGGAAAAGUUGUCUGUGAGAAAGUUACAGAAACUGCUUGACGCUUGAGAGUGCGGUCUUCGUUGUCUUCUUCCCACUGAAGACUACUGCAAAACGGACAUUCUGAUCAUUCAUUCCAGAAAGUGAGCAUGACUCCUCUGCAGGUGUUAAAAUUGAAAUUAAAAUUUCAUAGCUUUCAGGUUCAGGUCUUCAUCACAUUAACUGAUGCCCAUGGUAUAAUAACAUUACUACAGCAUUACAAAAAAACAGUCUUGCAUGUAAUAAUCUUCAAUUCAACAUCACUUUACAUUGCCAGAGGAAUCAUGAAUCACUUUCAGACUGCUAUCAGGAAUAUUUCUUUAAACAGUUAUUUCAAGGUACAUAAAAUGCAUAGAAAUAUAGGGGGUUAAGGAAGAAAAUGGUCCGAUGAAAACUGUAUAAUAUAGUGGUACGUUGUAGGAAUUGAAACUGUAAUAUUUGGCCACAGGGAAGACAUUGAUGAAAUAUUUUCUUCAGAAAUCUACAUCACCAAUAAUUUGCCGAUGAUAAAAUAAUGUCAAACAUUGUCAGAAGAAACAAUGAUAAAAUGUUAAGUCCAUUACAUUAAAA